AUUGAACGCUGGCGGCAGGCCUAACACACGCAAGUCGAACGAGGGGCGGACGGGUGAGUAAUGUCUGGGACACUGCCUGAUGGAGGGGGAUAACUACUGGAAACGGUAGCUAAUACCGCAUACCAUCGGAUGUGCCCAGAUGGGAUUAGCUCGUAGGAGGGGUACAGGCUCACCUAGGCGACGAUCCCUAGCUGGUCUGAGGUGAUGACCAGCCACACUGGAACGUAGACACCGCCCAGACUCCGACGGUAGGCAGCAGUGGGGAAUAUUGCACAAUGGGCGCAAGCCUGAUGCAGCCAUGCCGCGUGUAUGAAGAAGGCCUUCGGUUUGUAAAGUACUUUCAGCGGGGAGGCGUUACCCGCAGAAGAAGCACCGGCUAACUCCGUGCCAGCAGCCGCGGUAAUUC
This 406-nucleotide ribosomal RNA is filed under the name uncultured bacterium. RNAcentral describes it as "partial 16S ribosomal RNA". It matches the Rfam family "Bacterial small subunit ribosomal RNA", at positions 30 to 526 of the family's 1533-position model. The record is from RNAcentral.